Molecule: non-coding RNA, 87 nt
Filed under: Candidatus Omnitrophota
Lineage: Bacteria; Pseudomonadati
Description: Candidatus Omnitrophica c-di-GMP sequence
Rfam family: c-di-GMP-I riboswitch aptamer
About the family: GEMM was predicted in a large-scale screen for bacterial structured RNA regulatory elements. Genes associated with GEMM are involved in a diverse array of functions, including chemotaxis regulation, signal transduction, secretion and chitin.
Source: RNAcentral
UCAUGACAACGGCAAACUAUUCGAAAGAAUAGGACGCAAAGCUUCGGGUCUAAAGCGUUUAAUCGCUAAGAUGGCUGAGUCGCCAUG